Molecule: long non-coding RNA, 1962 nt
Filed under: Carica papaya (papaya)
Lineage: Eukaryota; Viridiplantae; Streptophyta; Magnoliopsida; Brassicales; Caricaceae
Description: long non-coding RNA (CPAP_LNC012015)
Source: RNAcentral
AUCCACAUCCAAAGCUGAAAAUGGAUCAUUUGUGGGAGUUGACUGCAAAAUGCGCUUCUUCAAGAGUGGAAUUGAAGCCAAUACACUCUUUGGUGGAGUUGGAGAAGCUAGAGAGUAAGCAGAACUUUCUGCCUGCCUUUUCUUUCCAGGUGUUCUGCUGCUGAUCUCUUUUAUCAAGUUAUGUAUAUCUGGUAAGCAUGCAGUGUCAUUUUCUCCAACCACUGGAGACUUCAUUUUGCAAGAAAUGAAUAAAUCCUUUCCUGCAUCAACCUGAUCAGAUUGUUUGCUAACUUUUGCAACAGGAGAAGCAUUUUUUGCUGGUGACUGAUCCACAUCCAAAGCUGAAAAUGGAUCAUUUGUGGGAGUUGACUGCACAAUGCGCUUCUUCAAGAGUGGAAUUGAAGCCAAUACACUCUGUGGUGGAGUUGGAGAAGCUAGAGAGUAAGCAGAACUUUCUGCCUGCCUUUUCUUUCCAGGUGUUCUGCUGCUGAUCUCUUUUAUCAAGUUAUGUAUAUCUGGUAAGCAUGCAGUGUCAUUUUCUCCAACCAUUGGAGACUUCAUUUUGCAAGAAAUGAAUAAAUCCUUUCCUGCAUCAACCUGAUCAGAUUGUCUGCUAACUUUUGCAACAGGAGAAGCAUUUUUUGCUGGUGACUGAUCCACAUCCAAAGCUGAAAAUGGAUCAUUUGUGGGAGUUGACUGCAAAAUGCGCUUCUUCAAGAGUGGAAUUGAAGCCAAUACACUCUUUGGUGGAGUUGGAGAAGCUCGAGAGUAAGCAGAACUUUCUGCCUGCCUUUUCUUUCCAGGUGUUCUGCUGCUGAUCUCUUUUAUCAAGUUAUGUAUAUCUGGUAAGACAUGCCUAGGCUUUGGCAAGUUAGCUACUGAAGCAUUAAAAUCAAUCCUUGGAACAUCUUGUAAGUCAGGGAGGCUUAAUUUCUCUAACUCAAUGGGUUUGAUUUGCAGGUACUCCUGUAAAAUAUUGACUGCACCAUCACCAUCGAGCUCUUCGUAACUACCAGCAAGCAAUUCAUCCAAAAGUUCGUUAACCCUCUUCUCUGUCUUGGCUACUGAACCUGUUCAGAGUAAUAAGUGAAACUAUCAGAUUUUUCCAAGUAGGGUAGGGAAAAGAAGCUAGAGAAGCUAACAAAAAAUAAGAAGAUAAUCCAGUUGAAUUGUUGAGAGAGAGAGAGAGAGAGAUGAAGGGAAAGAAGAAAUAACUAAAAUUAUUCAUCAAUAAACCAUUUUCCUCCAAUAGAAUCUCUCUUACCACCUAAUUCUCUUUCUUGUGAUGUAACAUUUGCAUUGGUUGUUUCUUGUUGCAAGCUGUUACCAGAUGGACUGAGAGUCUCCUCUUCAACAAUAUCUUGAGAUGGUGCGUCAGUUGAAUAACGAUGCUUGUACUUAACUGAUCUCUUCCUAGGGUUUGGAACCAUAAAUUACAUUUUAUAUAAGACCAAAAAAGCCAUAAAAUAAAGAUUGCUAUGAAAAGGAUAUUGUUGGCACCCAAAAAUUCCUGGUCGACGGGGUCGUGUUAUUUGACUGUUCUGAUCUUUUUCUGUCAAAAUACCUCCUGUCUGUUUCUGCCAUUCCCGUUGGGCAUCUAUACACACAACCAAGAAACAGGAAAAAGAAAAUGUUAACCAACAUACACUGUUACAAACUAGUUCUUAAAUAUCAGAAUAAGCAACUUACUCUCAAACUUUUCAUAUGCCAAGAAGAAUUCCUCUGGAUCUUUCAGUUUACCAAUGUCCAAACUUGGUUCUAAACUCACAAUAGGCUGACUGUCAGUAGAAGAUGGAAGACUGUUCAGCUGAUACUUAGUAAUCAUAAAAUGUACAUUUUAGAGGAAAAAGAAAGAUUUAUUGAAACAGAUGUCAGCAACAAGCUUUACCUUAUAUUAGGCUUUAGAGAAAACCGAGCCCGCUUACGGUCUAACCCUGGUCUUCUUUCUUGUGGAUUUUCAAC